Molecule: ribosomal RNA, 872 nt
Filed under: marine metagenome
Description: bacterial SSU rRNA
Rfam family: Bacterial small subunit ribosomal RNA
Source: RNAcentral
AAUAAGCCACGGCUAAUUCCGUGCCAGCAGCCGCGGUAAUACGGGAGUGGCAAGCGUUAUCCGGAAUUAUUGGGCGUAAAGCGUCCGCAGGCGGCCCUUCAAGUCUGCUGUUAAAAAGUGGAGCUUAACUCCAUCGUGGCAGUGGAAACUGUUGGGCUAGAGUGUGGUAGGGGCAGAGGGAAUUCCCGGUGUAGCGGUGAAAUGCGUAGAUAUCGGGAAGAACACCAGUGGCGAAGGCGCUCUGCUGGGCCAUAACUGACGCUCAUGGACGAAAGCCAGGGGAGCGAAAGGGAUUAGAUACCCCUGUAGUCCUGGCCGUAAACGAUGAACACUAGGUGUCGGGGGAAUCGACCCCCUCGGUGUCGUAGCCAACGCGUUAAGUGUUCCGCCUGGGGAGUACGCACGCAAGUGUGAAACUCAAAGGAAUUGACGGGGGCCCGCACAAGCGGUGGAGUAUGUGGUUUAAUUCGAUGCAACGCGAAGAACCUUACCAGGGUUUGACAUCCUGCGAAUCUCCUGGAAACGGGAGAGUGCCUUCGGGAACGCAGUGACAGGUGGUGCAUGGCUGUCGUCAGCUCGUGUCGUGAGAUGUUGGGUUAAGUCCCGCAACGAGCGCAACCCACGUCUUUAGUUGCCAGCAUUCAGUUGGGCACUCUAGAGAGACCGCCGGUGAUAAACCGGAGGAAGGUGUGGAUGACGUCAAGUCAUCAUGCCCCUUACAUCCUGGGCUACACACGUACUACAAUGCUACGGACAAAGGGCAGCAAACUCGCGAGAGCUAGCAAAUCCCAUAAACCGUGGCUCAGUUCAGAUCGUAGGCUGCAACUCGCCUACGUGAAGGAGGAAUCGCUAGUAAUCGCAGGUCAGCAUAC